Molecule: ribosomal RNA, 460 nt
Filed under: uncultured bacterium
Lineage: Bacteria
Description: partial 16S ribosomal RNA
Rfam family: Bacterial small subunit ribosomal RNA
Source: RNAcentral
CCUACGGGAGGCAGCAGUGAGGAAUAUUGGUCAAUGGGCGGGAGCCUGAACCAGCCAAGUCGCGUGAGGGAAGACGGUCCUAUGGAUUGUAAACCUCUUUAGGCGGGGAGCAAUGCCGGGCACGCGUGCCCGGAGGGAGAGUACCCGCAGAAUAAGCAUCGGCUAACUCCGUGCCAGCAGCCGCGGUAAUACGGAGGAUGCGAGCGUUAUCCGGAUUUAUUGGGUUUAAAGGGUGCGUAGGCGGAUUGUUAAGUCAGCGGUAAAAUGUCCGGGCUCAACCCGGGCCGGCCGUUGAAACUGGGGAUCUUGAGUGGGCGAGAAGUAUGCGGAAUGCGUGGUGUAGUGGUGAAAUGCUUAGAUAUCACGCAGAACCCCGAUUGCGAAGGCAGCCUGCCAAGCCAUGACUGACGCUGAUGCACGAAAGCGUGGGGAGCAAACAGGAUUAGAUACCCGUGUAGUC